This 433-nucleotide ribosomal RNA is filed under the name uncultured bacterium. RNAcentral describes it as "partial 16S ribosomal RNA". It matches the Rfam family "Bacterial small subunit ribosomal RNA", at positions 29 to 507 of the family's 1533-position model. The record is from RNAcentral.
AACGAACGCUGGCGGCAUGCCUAACACAUGCAAGUCGAACGAAACCUUCGGUUCUAGUGGCGCACGGUUGCGUAACGCUUGGGAACCUGCCCUUAAGUUCGGAAUAACUCCCCGAAAGGGUUGCUAAUACCGGAUAAUUUCUUCGUACCAAUGCUUUAUCGCAUUUGGGUGGGCCCGCGUUUGAUUAGGUAGUUGUUAAGGUAAAAGACUACCAAGGCGAGGAGCCAUAGCUGGUCUGAGAGGAUGAACAGUCACACUGGGACUGAGACACGGCCCAGACUCCAAGGGGAGGCAGGAGAGGGGAAUAAUGGAGAAGGGGCGAAAGGCUGAGACAGCAAGGCCGGGUGAGUGAUGAAGGGGUUAGGGUUGGAAAGCUGUAGGAGCCGGGAUGAUAAUGACAGUACCGGGAGAAGAAGCACCGGCUAACUACGUG